Molecule: transfer RNA, 75 nt
Filed under: Promethearchaeota archaeon
Lineage: Archaea; Promethearchaeati; Promethearchaeota
Description: Candidatus Lokiarchaeota archaeon (marine sediment metagenome) tRNA-Met
Rfam family: tRNA
About the family: Transfer RNA (tRNA) molecules are approximately 80 nucleotides in length. Their secondary structure includes four short double-helical elements and three loops (D, anti-codon, and T loops).
Source: RNAcentral
GCCGGUGUGGCUUAGCUGGUUAUAGCGCCAGACUCAUAUUCUGGAGGUUCGAGGGCUCAAAUCCCUCCACCGGCA